This 416-nucleotide ribosomal RNA is filed under the name uncultured Singulisphaera sp. Its description in RNAcentral is "bacterial SSU rRNA". It matches the Rfam family "Bacterial small subunit ribosomal RNA", at positions 355 to 774 of the family's 1533-position model. The record is from RNAcentral. Lineage: Bacteria; Pseudomonadati; Planctomycetota; Planctomycetia; Isosphaerales; Isosphaeraceae.
UCGAGAAUCUUCGGCAAUGGGCGCAAGCCUGACCGAGCGACGCCGCGUGGAGGACGAAGGCCUUCGGGUUGUAAACUCCUGUCGAGGGGGAAGAAGGGCCCUUAAAAGCCUUGACUGAUCCCUGGAGGAAGCACGGGCUAAGUUCGUGCCAGCAGCCGCGGUAAGACGAACCGUGCGAACGUUAUUCGGAAUCACUGGGCUUAAAGCGCGUGUAGGUGGGGCGGCACGUCCGACGCUGAAAUCCCCCGGCUUAACCGGGGAACUGGCGGGGAUACGACCGUCCUCGAGGGACGUAGGGGGACCUGGAACUUCCGGUGGAGCGGUGAAAUGCGUUGAGAUCGGAAGGAACGCCCGUGGCGAAAGCGAGGUCCUGGACGUUUUCUGACACUGAGACGCGAAAGCCAGGGGAGCGAACG